AAUCUGGUACUUUUUCGUUUUAGCAUUAAAAAAAAAAAGUCUAUAAAAUAGAGAUGGGGUCUUCUUAUGUUGCCUAGGCUGGUUUCAAACUCCUAGCCUCAAGCAAUCCUCCCUCCUUGGCCUCACAAAGUGUUGGGAUUGCAGGUGUGAGGCACUGCACCUGGCCUAAAUGAGCAUUUUGAAUAGACUAAGAUCUGUGUCUACACUGGAUGAGUCUGUGUUUGCAGCCAGUGGCUACAAAAGGUAUCAAGGUUUCACAAGAUCAUUUCAAAAAUCCUGCGAUUGAAGUAAUACAUUCUCUUUUUUUUUUUUUUUUGAGAUGGAGUUUUGCUCUUGUUGCCUAGCUGGAGUGCAAUGGCGCGAUCUCGGCUCUGCCUCCCAGGUUCGGGCUGUUCUCCUGCCUCAGAUUCCUGAGUAGCUGGGAUUACAGGCAUGUGCCCUCAUGCCUGGCUAAUUUUGUAUUUUUAGUAGAGACGAGGUUUCUCCAUGUUGGUCAGGCUGGUCUCAAACUCCCGACCUCAGGUGAUCUGCCCGCCUGUCUCCCAAAGUGUUGAGAUUACAGGCGUGAGCCAUCACACCUGACUAUUUCUUUCUCUUUUACUACAUUUUCCCCUGAAUGUGCUAUUGAGGUACUCAUGUAUAAUUAUACUGUAUGUUCAUAUAUAAUAGUAAUAUACACUAUUAUAGGCCCUAUAUGAAACAGAUGUCUCUGUCAGAUUAUUCUGACAUUGCAUCAUGUUCCCUAUGAAGGACAUCAAUUAGUUCUGAGGAGAAGAUGAAUUUUACCCCCAAGCUCAUCUGCUUGUUGACAGCCUCUGAAUUUAAUCUGAUGUUCAGAAUAGCUUCAUUCCAUGUAUCUCUCAGAGUGUAGUAUUUAAUUCACUGCCCCUCAAAUCUCCCCAGCACUCAGGUUGGAGAACAACAAAAUCACACUUGUUUUUGUGACACUGUUACCAGCCUUUACUGAAAAUCAUUUUAGGUUGGGCGUAGUGGCUCACGCCUGUAAUCCCAGCUUUGGUAGGCCAAGACUGGUGGAUCACCUGAAGUCAGGAGUUUGAGACUAGCCUGGCCAACAUGGUGAAACCAUGUCUCUACUAAAAAUAAAAAAAAAAGUAGCUGGUCGUGGUGGUGGGUGCCUGUAAUCCCAGCUACUCUGGAGGCUGAGGCAGGAGAAUCGCUUGAACUCUGCCUGGGAGGUGAAGGUUACCAUGAGCCGGGAUCAUGCCAUUGUACUCCAGCCUUGGCAACUAGAGUGAAACUACGUCUCCCCCCCAAAAAACAAAAGGAAGUCAUUUUAAGGAACAGGCCUGUGACCCUUGCCUGUAUGUCCACUGUAUAAAUGCUAUUGAGACUUUUCAUCCUUACAUUGUAUAUCCUAUAUCCUCUCCAUGAAGACUCACAGGAGGAAUUGAUUUCUGAGCUCAGUAGCAGAAAUAAUAGUGAUUUUAAUUAAUUCAAUAAACAUUUACUGAGCAUCUACUACAAGCAGGCCAUAUGAGAGC
Molecule: long non-coding RNA, 1502 nt
Organism: Papio anubis (olive baboon)
Lineage: Eukaryota; Metazoa; Chordata; Mammalia; Primates; Cercopithecidae
Source: Ensembl